RNAcentral lists this ribosomal RNA (496 nucleotides) under uncultured bacterium. RNAcentral describes it as "partial 16S ribosomal RNA". It matches the Rfam family "Bacterial small subunit ribosomal RNA", at positions 28 to 506 of the family's 1533-position model. The record is from RNAcentral.
GAUGAACGCUGGCGGCGUGCCUAAUACAUGCAAGUCGAGCGAACAGACGAGGAGCUUGCUCCUCUGACGUUAGCGGCGGACGGGUGAGUAACACGUGGAUAACCUACCUAUAAGACUGGGAUAACUUCGGGAAACCGGAGCUAAUACCGGAUAAUAUAUUGAACCGCAUGGUUCAAUAGUGAAAGACGGUUUUGCUGUCACUUAUAGAUGGAUCCGCGCCGCAUUAGCUAGUUGGUAAGGUAACGGCUUACCAAGGCGACGAUGCGUAGCCGACCUGAGAGGGGGGUGGGCCACGCGGGAAGUGAGACGCCGUCCCGACACCGAGGGGAGGCAGCAGGAGGGAAGCUUCGGGAAUGGGGGAAACGCUGAAGGAGGAACGGCGGGGGAGUGAUGAAGGUCUUCGUGUCGUAAAACUCUGUUAUUAGGGAAGAACAAAUGUGUAAGUAACUAUGCACGGCUUGAGGGGACGUAAUCAGAAAGCCACGGAUAACUCCGU